This 253-nucleotide ribosomal RNA is filed under the name uncultured bacterium. Its description in RNAcentral is "partial 16S ribosomal RNA". It matches the Rfam family "Bacterial small subunit ribosomal RNA", at positions 524 to 776 of the family's 1533-position model. The record is from RNAcentral.
UACAGAGGUCUCAAGCGUUGUUCGGAUUCAUUGGGCGUAAAGGGUGCGUAGGUGGCGCGGUAAGUCGGGUGUGAAAUCUCGGAGCUUAACUCCGAAAUUGCAUUCGAUACUGGCGUGCUCGAGGACUGGAGAGGAGACUGGAAUUCAUGGUGUAGCAGUGAAAUGCGUAGAGAUCAUGAGGAAGACCAGUGGCGAAGGCGGCUCUCUGGGACGGUACUGACGCUGAGACGCGAAAGCGUGGGGAGCGAACAGG